Molecule: ribosomal RNA, 253 nt
Filed under: uncultured bacterium
Lineage: Bacteria
Description: partial 16S ribosomal RNA
Rfam family: Bacterial small subunit ribosomal RNA
Source: RNAcentral
UACGAAGGGGGCUAGCGUUGUUCGGAAUUACUGGGCGUAAAGCGCGCGUAGGCGGACGUUUAAGUCAGGGGUGAAAUGCCGGGGCUCAACCUCGGAACUGCCUUUGAUACUGGACGUCUGGAGUUCGGGAGAGGUGAGUGGAAUUCCGAGUGUAGAGGUGAAAUUCGUAGAUAUUCGGAGGAACACCAGUGGCGAAGGCGGCUCACUGGACCGGAACUGACGCUGAGGCGCGAAAGCGUGGGGAGCAAACGGG